CAGCAGCCACGGUAAUACAGAGGGUGCAAGCGUUAAUCGGAAUUACUGGGCGUAAAGCGCGCGUAGGUGGUUUGUUAAGUUGGAUGUGAAAGCCCGGGCUCAACCUGGGAACUGCAUCCAAAACUGGCAAGCUAGAGUACGGUAGAGGGUGGUGGAAUUUCCUGUGUAGCGGUGAAAUGCGUAGAUAUAGGAAGGAACACCAGUGGCGAAGGCGACCACCUGGACUGAUACUGACACUGAGGUGCGAAAGCGUGGGGAGCAAACAGGAUUAGAUACCCCCGUAGUCCCUGUCUCUUAUACA
RNAcentral lists this ribosomal RNA (301 nucleotides) under uncultured bacterium. RNAcentral describes it as "partial 16S ribosomal RNA". It matches the Rfam family "Bacterial small subunit ribosomal RNA", at positions 509 to 808 of the family's 1533-position model. The record is from RNAcentral.